This 377-nucleotide ribosomal RNA is filed under the name uncultured bacterium. RNAcentral's name for it is "partial 16S ribosomal RNA". It matches the Rfam family "Bacterial small subunit ribosomal RNA", at positions 338 to 732 of the family's 1533-position model. The record is from RNAcentral.
CCUACGGGAGGCAGCAGUGGGGAAUAUUGCACAAUGGGGGAAACCCUGAUGCAGCGACGCCGCGUGAGGGAAGAAGUAAUUCUUUAUGUAAAGCUCUAUCAGCAGGGAAGAAAAUGACGGUACCUGAGUAAGAAUCCGCGGCUAACUACGUGCCAGCAGCCGCGGGCAUACGCAGGGGGCAAACGUUAUCCGGAUUUACUGGGUGUAAAGGGAGCGUAGACGGGAGCGCAAGUCUGGAGUGAAAGGUGGGGGGUCAAACCCCGGACAGCUCUGGAAACUGUCCGGCUGGAGUGGGGGAGAGGUACGUGGAAUUCCUGGUGUAGCGGUGAAAUGCGUAGAUAUUAGGCGGAACACCAGUGGCGAAGGCAGCGUACUGG